Molecule: long non-coding RNA, 207 nt
Organism: Rosa rugosa (rugosa rose)
Lineage: Eukaryota; Viridiplantae; Streptophyta; Magnoliopsida; Rosales; Rosaceae
Exons: 3
Source: RefSeq, a predicted model, not a curated record
AAGGAUCAGCGACUUAAACGGAGGGGGUUCAGUAUUUCCAAACUUGAGGAAUAUGAUAAGCUUGCAAAGAUUAAUGCUCAGGAGCUGUAACUUAUCUGGACCUAUUCCUUCUGAUUUAUCAGCAAUGUCACAGUUGAAAACAUUAGAUCUAAGCUUCAACAGAUUGGAGGGGAGCAUUCCUGAUUUGGCAGAUCUAACACCCUUGCA